Molecule: unclassified non-coding RNA, 320 nt
Filed under: plant metagenome
Description: partial contains 5.8S ribosomal RNA, internal transcribed spacer 2, and large subunit ribosomal RNA
Rfam family: 5.8S ribosomal RNA (bases 1-105)
Source: RNAcentral
GAAAUGCGAUAAGUAAUGUGAAUUGCAGAAUUCAGUGAAUCAUCGAAUCUUUGAACGCACAUUGCGCCCGCCAGUAUUCUGGCGGGCAUGCCUGUUCGAGCGUCAUUACAACCCUCAGGCCCCCGGGCCUGGCGUUGGGGAUCGGCGGAAGCCCCCUGCGGGCACAACGCCGUCCCCCAAAUACAGUGGCGGUCCCGCCGCAGCUUCCAUUGCGUAGUAGCUAACACCUCGCAACUGGAGAGCGGCGCGGCCACGCCGUAAAACACCCAACUUCUGAAUGUUGACCUCGAAUCAGGGAGGAAUACCCGCUGAACUUAGGC